RNAcentral lists this ribosomal RNA (228 nucleotides) under uncultured bacterium. RNAcentral's name for it is "partial 16S ribosomal RNA". It matches the Rfam family "Bacterial small subunit ribosomal RNA", at positions 524 to 751 of the family's 1533-position model. The record is from RNAcentral.
GACAGAGGGUGCAAACGUUGUUCGGAAUUACUGGGCGUAAAGCGCGUGUAGGCAGCUCGGAAAGUCGGGUGUGAAAGCCCUGGGCUUAACCUAGGAAGUGCACUCGAAACUUCCGAGCUUGAGUUCUGGAGAGGAAGGCGGAAUUCUCGGUGUAGAGGUGAAAUUCGUAGAUAUCGAGAGGAACACCGGUGGCGAAGGCGGCCUUCUGGACAGUGACUGACGCUGAGA